RNAcentral lists this ribosomal RNA (254 nucleotides) under uncultured bacterium. RNAcentral's name for it is "partial 16S ribosomal RNA". It matches the Rfam family "Bacterial small subunit ribosomal RNA", at positions 524 to 777 of the family's 1533-position model. The record is from RNAcentral.
GACAGAGGGUGCAAACGUUGUUCGGAAUUACUGGGCGUAAAGCGUGUGUAGGCUGCUACAUAAGUCGGAUGUGAAAGCCCAGGGCUCAACCCUGGAAGUGCACUGGAUACGACGGCGCUGGAGUCCUGAAGAGGAGGGCGGAAUUCCCGGUGUAGAGGUGAAAUUCGUAGAUAUCGGGAGGAACACCAGUGGCGAAGGCGGCUCUCUGGACAGGUACUGACGCUGAGACGCGAAAGCGUGGGUAGCAAACAGGA